AGAGCGCAGGGCGAAUGCCUUGGCACUGGGAGCCGACGAAGGACGCGAUAAGCUGCGAUAAGCUGCGGGGAGGAGCAAAUAUCCAUUGAUCCGCAGAUUUCCGAAUGGAGAAAUCCGUAUGGAGAAGUCCAUACAUCAUAUACUGAAUACAUAGGUAUAUGAGGGAAACCGCCUGAACUGAAACAUCUAAGUAGGGCGAGGAAAAGAAAUCAACCGAGAUACCGCAAGUAGUGGCGAGCGAACGCGGCAGAGGCCAAACCCGUAGUAGAAAUACUAUGGGGGUUGCGGACUGCAUUUAGCAUUGUUGAUCUUUAACCGAAGGGCAUGGGAAGGCCCACCGAAGAACGUGAGAGUCGUGUAGGUGAAAAGGAGAGACAGCGAGCAGGAUCCAGAGUACCGCGGGACACGAGGAAUCCCGUGGGAAGCCGGGGGGACCACCCUCCAAGCCUAAAUACUACCCAGUGACCGAUAGCGUAUAGUACUGUGAAGGAAAGGUGAAAAGGACCCCGGGAGGGGAGUGAAAUAGAACCUGAAACCCUGUGCUUACAAGCACCGAGAGCCCGUCGAUGGGUGAUCGGGUACUUUUUGUAGAACGGUCCGGCGAGUAUAUGGAACAAGCAAGGUUAAGGUCUUCAGGACUGAAGCCGAAGGGAAACCAAGUCUUAAUAGGGCGCACAGUUUGUUUCAUAUGACCCGAAACCGGGUGACCUAUCCAUGUCCAGGUUGAAGUGGCGGUAAAACGCCAUGGAGGACCGAACCAACCCCCGUUGAAAAGGUGGUGGAUGAGGUGUGGAUAGCGGAGAAAUUCCAAUCGAACUCGGAUAUAGCUGGUUCUCCCCGAAAUAGCUUUAGGGCUAGCGUUGUGUUAGAUUACCGGAGGUAAAGCACUGAAUAGGCUAGGGGGCGAGAGUCUACCGACCCUUAUCAAACUCUGAAUGCCGGAUAAUUGAUGCACAGCAGUCAGACAGUGUGAGAUAAGUUUCAUUGUCAAAAGGGAAACAGCCCAGACCCACAGCUAAGGUCCCAAAGUACGGUUAAGUGGAAAAGGAUGUGGGGUUGCACAGACAACCAGGAUGUUGGCUUAGAAGCAGCCACUCAUUAAAAGAGUGCGUAAUAGCUCACUGGUCGAGUGAUUCUGCGCCGAAAAUUUAACGGGGCUAAAUUGUACACCGAAGCUUGGGAUACAUCUAAUGUAUGGUAGGAGAGCGUUGUAUACGGGGUGAAGUCAGAGCGGAAGCGCUGGUGGACUGUAUACAAGUGAGAAUGCCGGAAUGAGUAGCGAGAAUUAUGUGAGAAUCAUAAUGGCCGAAAAUCUAAGGUUUCCUGAGGAAGGUUCGUCCGCUCAGGGUAAGCCGGGGGCUAAGGCGAGGCGGAGACGCGUAGCCGAUGCACAUACGGUUGAAAUUCCGUAGCCACCGAAAGAUUUAAGUACAGGGACGCUUUAGAAGUGAUGUUGCCGGGCGAUGGUUGACCCGGUCGUAAGGGAUCGAAAAUGAGUAGAGAAGUCAUCAUGGAAAGAGACAAGAAAAGCUGUAUGAAUAUCUUAGGUGCCCGUACCGCAAACCGACACAGGUAGAUAGGAAGAAGAUUCUAAGGCCAACGGGAGAAGGGUUGUUAAGGAACUCGGCAAGUUGACCCCGUAACUUCGGGAGAAGGGGUGCUCUGGAAACAGAGCCGCAGAGAAUAGGUCCAGGCAACUGUUUAGCAAAAACACAGCUCUCUGCUAAAUCGAAAGAUGAUGUAUAGGGGGUGACGCCUGCCCGGUGCUGGAAGGUUAAGAGGAGGAGUGAGAGCCCCGAAUCGAAGCCCCAGUAAACGGCGGCCGUAACUAUAACGGUCCUAAGGUAGCGAAAUUCCUUGUCAGGUAAGUUCUGACCCGCACGAAAGGCGUAAUGAUUUGGGCACUGUCUCAACAGCCCGCCCGGCGAAAUUGUAGUACCGGUGAAGAUGCCGGUUACCCGCGACAAGACGGAAAGACCCCAUGGAGCUUUACUGCAGCCUAAUAUUGGAUUUCGGUAUUUCAUGUACAGGAUAGGUGGGAGACUGGGAAACACAGGCGUCAGCUUGUGCGGAGUCGCCCUUGGGAUACCACCCUUGAAGUGCUGGAAUUCUAACCUGUGGCCAUGAAUCUGGUCAGGGGACAUUGUUAGGCGGGCAGUUUGACUGGGGCGGUCGCCUCCAAAAGAGUAACGGAGGCGCUCA
RNAcentral lists this ribosomal RNA (2202 nucleotides) under human gut metagenome. RNAcentral describes it as "bacterial LSU rRNA". It matches the Rfam family "Bacterial large subunit ribosomal RNA", at positions 14 to 2312 of the family's 2925-position model. The record is from RNAcentral.